Molecule: RNA transcript, 2035 nt
Organism: Hevea brasiliensis (rubber tree)
Lineage: Eukaryota; Viridiplantae; Streptophyta; Magnoliopsida; Malpighiales; Euphorbiaceae
Exons: 15
Source: RefSeq, a predicted model, not a curated record
UCUCUCUCAAGCAACGAAGACUUCGAAAAGAAAAAAGUAACGAAGACAGCCACAAGAGUAGGGUUCCAUUGCAAAUACAGGGAAACUUCUCUUACCAAAUAAAUAAAUAAAAACUUCUUUUGCUGUGUCUAGCGAGUGGCUUCUGCUCUUCCUCUCUGCAAUACACCUUGCUUCCUUUCACUACCGACACUUACAUUGUAUAUUCAAUAUCCACUGUAUAUUCAAUAUCCUUCUAUUGUAUUAUCCCAUUUAUUUCACCAACUCCCUCUAACAAACAGAGUGAGCUACUACCCAAAAAGUACAGAUAUUGGGAUCUAAACUUCGCUUGUUUGGCUUCUUGUGGACAGUGGAUUGCAUGGUGCGACAUUAUUUUUGUACAAUUGGGCGGUUACCACUGCAGUGCUUUAAAGAUUUGAGUCUCUAUUUUUUAUAAAUAACGAGUCUUUAUUCGGAAUUUGGGGAAUUCAAGAUCUGGGUGGGUUUUGUAUUGAUCGGAAAUGGGUAGCUCUGGGGAGAAGGUUGUGGCUGUGAUUAUGGUCGGUGGACCAACUAAAGGGACUCGAUUCCGGCCAUUGUCAUUGAAUGUCGCCAAGCCUCUUUUUCCUUUAGCUGGACAACCAAUGGUUCACCAUCCAAUAUCUGCUUGCAAAAGGAUUCCGAACCUAGCACAGAUCUAUCUUGUCGGUUUCUAUGAGGAACGGGAAUUUGCAUUGUAUGUUUCAUCAAUCUCGAACGAGCUUAAGGUCCCUGUGAGAUAUCUGAGGGAGGAAAAGCCACAUGGUUCAGCUGGUGGGCUUUAUAACUUCAGAGACCGAAUCAUGGAAGACAGUCCGUCUCAUAUAUUCUUGUUGAACUGUGAUGUUUGCUGCAGUUUUCCACUCCAAGAAAUGCUUGAGGCUCAUAGAAGAUAUGGUGGGAUGGGAACCAUUCUAGUAAUCAAGGUUUCUGCUGAGUCAGCCAGCCAGUUUGGUGAAUUGGUAGCUGAUCCAGACACCAAAGAAUUGUUGCAUUACACAGAGAAACCAGAAACUUUUGUAAGUGACCUGAUAAAUUGCGGUGUGUAUGUGUUUACACCAGAUAUAUUUACAGCCAUCCAGGGUGUUUCUUCUCAAAGGAAAGACAGAGCUAAUCUUAGACGUGUUUCCAGCUUUGAAGCACUUCAAUCAGCCACAAGGAGCCUUCCCACAGAUUUUGUGAGACUGGAUCAAGAUAUCCUGUCACCGCUUGCAGGGAAAAAGCAGCUAUAUACAUAUGAAACAAUGGAUUUCUGGGAGCAAAUUAAAACUCCUGGAAUGUCCCUAAAAUGUUCUGCUUUAUAUCUUGCUCAAUUCCGGUACACCUCCCCACAUCUUUUGGCUAGUGGAGAUGGCUCAAAGAGUGCUACCAUAAUUGGUGAUGUUUUUAUUCACCCAUCCGCUAAAGUACAUCCAACUGCUAAGAUUGGUCCCAACGUCUCAAUAUCUGCUAAUGCCCGUAUAGGACCAGGUGCAAGGCUCAUCAGUUGUAUCAUCCUAGAUGAUGUUGAAGUCAUGGAAAAUGCAGUGGUUAUUCAUGCAAUUGUCGGGUGGAAGUCUUCCAUUGGGAGAUGGUCCCGGGUACAGGCAAGUUAGCUUUCUCGUGACACCACUAAGUGAUUGACUAUUGACCAUUGCUUAUGCUACCCAAAAUUUCCAAGUGAUCGACUGCUGACCAUCAUAUAUAAAUACCAAUUCCAAAAAUUCCUACUUAUGACCAUGCAAGUAUGUAACAAAGGAAUGACAUUGGCAAGAAUAAAUUGCAUGAAGGGAUGCUUCUCAAAGUCUGUGCCACAAAUUGUAAUGUUGAGUAUCAGCAUGACAACUAUAAUGUGUUUUGGAUUACCAUUGGGCUAAAAGCUGCAGGAGAUUUCAAUGCCAAACUUGGGAUUACUAUUCUUGGUGAAGCUGUUAGUGUUGAAGAUGAAGUUGUGGUGGUUAAUAGCAUUGUCCUUCCAAACAAGACACUCAAUGUUAGUGUUCAGGAGGAAAUAAUCUUGUAGUGGACGUGGAUAUAGAUC